UCUGCGAUCGCAUAUAAUCCUUUUAUAAGAGAUAUUGGACGGCAUACAUAUCUUCCCCCUGACCCGAUUUGUUUUUUAAAUGGCCUGCUGUAAAUAAUCAGAGUACUGACUGGGUGAUCACAGCCCGGAGACACAGGCGAAGGCCUUCCAUCCAAAUGCCAGAGUAAAUGCGCUUGGAUUAUGCAUUCACGUGGUCAGUACGUCAACGUUUCCCCAUUUUAUACAGACUUUAGCAAUUGUUAAUUGAACCCUUCUUUUUGUUCAUGAUCGUUGAAAUUUGGGCAUUUCAAAAACUUCUAGUGGAUGACGAGGGGCCCUCCACGUUCUUAUUCUUUUCGUAGAAGCUGUUUGCAAAGGUUUCGAGGAAAAUGCCAAGAGAUUGAGUUGAGGAAGUUUAGCGGUCAACACUGGAUGGACCUCAAAUUGGAAACUUUCAAAUUAUAAUAGGUGGUGGAGCUCAGUUGUACCCCCACGGGAGGAAAAUAUUUAUUGGACCCUGGUGGAUUUGAAAGAAAUGCCUUCUGGAAGAUCUCGGGAGCGUCAUCGAAAGAUGCAUGGGUUCGCUUGACAGGAAUGGAUUCAAUAGCAGUUGGACUGCGAAGUUGCAAACGGCCGGUUCCCAACUAGCCUUAUACGUGAACGGACUUCCUGCAAAAUCUGAGUAGUUUACUUAUAGUCGGAAGCUUAAUUCUGCACAUGCUGUUAAAAAAUAUCUAGUACACAUUAAUGUACACUGAACGCGAUUUAAGGUUUAGGCUACUGUCAAGAUAUAGGCCAGAAUGGUAAACAGAAGGUGAAAUAUAGAUGUGUGUAACGUGUCCAAUAGGAACUGGUCUGGUGUAUGGAUGUCAGAAAUUGCUGAGAAUACGCAGAACGCCAUUAGCGGACUCCUUUCAAAUAUCGGAUCCGCCAGCUAAAUAUGCUGUGAUAUUUAACAGCGGGAGACAGUGAGUAAGAGAUGCAGAAAUAGAGUGAAAGAAACUUACGCAGAAUAGAAAGAAAAAGUAAAAAGCAAUAGUGAAAAAAAUUCAAGCCAAAAACAAUGCUACUUCUUGAGCUCAUUGCUACGGUCUCACUAUGUCAAUUUCCUAACAAUGUCUAUGUGAUUUAUAAAAUGAUUACAAUCAUUACUUUCAAGCAAAUAAACCUCAAAUCUCUACGGAGUGCGAACAGGGCAUCACCUUAUCCUAUUUUUGUUCCUCCAGUUGCAACAAUUUCGGACAAUUGCUCCUUAGAGACCGACCACAUUUCAACACAAAGGAAUGGGGGGAAAGAACAUGGAAAAUUUGGCACAAAAAAACCAUUAGCUUUUUGGUGAUUUGACGCUUUCACUGAACAGAAGAAAAAGAUCAAAAAUCGCCAUCGUUUGCAACAGAGAAAUCUACACUACUGGAACCAUGAAGUAAAUUGUAUCUCACAAUUAGGAGCAUUUUUUGGCAAAUGAAGAAAAUCGACAUCCCAAAGGCCUGCCAAUCAUAGAGCAACUGCGAGUUUUCAUUGUUUUUCCUCCUCAUUUACAAGAGCAGAACCAAUAUUCGGAGAUUGAGGAAACAGAUUAUGUGCCACAUUUUUAAAGGCAUAUGAACUUUGUCAAUCUAUUCCAUGGUAGUUUAAUCUUAUUUCAUGUAACAUACACAAAUGAGUGGAACAUACAUAAAUCUAUCUAGUACAAAAGAACAAAGACAAAUACAGCAUAAUUUUACAGGAAAUGUAUUAAAUCAUAGACAAAUUCCAAAUUUGUUCCAUGUACUUGUAGUUCGUUCACCUGCAACUGCGUCCCUUUUUGAUUUCUGCAUCUUGCAUAUUAAAUAAUUAAAUUGUUCAGAAGUAUUUUGAGAUUUUCAUCUUUGUUGGGCUACCAGAUAGAGUAUAUAAUGGAUAAUUCCAACGCUGAGUGUAAUUAUCAAAACAAACACUUAAAAGGAAUUCACAUAAUCAUAAUUAAAAACGACCAUUAAAUAUCCCUCAAUAAGAAAAAGAUUACCAUGCAACUGACAGAUAAUGGUAUUUUGAAAGGCACCCGCGUUUCACUACUGAUGUUCUUUGCCUGC
Molecule: long non-coding RNA, 2051 nt
Organism: Stegostoma tigrinum
Lineage: Eukaryota; Metazoa; Chordata; Chondrichthyes; Orectolobiformes; Stegostomatidae
Exons: 4
Source: RefSeq, a predicted model, not a curated record